RNAcentral lists this ribosomal RNA (504 nucleotides) under uncultured bacterium. Its description in RNAcentral is "partial 16S ribosomal RNA". It matches the Rfam family "Bacterial small subunit ribosomal RNA", at positions 30 to 523 of the family's 1533-position model. The record is from RNAcentral.
AUUGAACGCUGGCGGCAGGCCUAACACAUGCAAGUCGAACGGUAGCACAGAGAGCUUGCUCUCGGGUGACGAGUGGCGGACGGGUGAGUUACAUCUGGGAAACUGCCCGAUGGAGGGGGAUAACUACUGGAAACGGUAGCUAAUACCGCAUAACGUCGCAAGACCAAAGUGGGGGACCUUCGGGCCUCACACCAUCGGAUGUGCCCAGAUGGGAUUAGCUGGUAGGUGGGGUAAUGGCUCACCUAGGCGACGAUCCCUAGCUGGUCUGAGAGGAUGACCAGCCACACUGGAACUGAGACACGGUCCAGACUCCUACGGGAGGCAGCAGUGGGGAAUAUUGCACAAUGGGCGCAAGCCUGAUGCAGCCAUGCCGCGUGUAUGAAGAAGGCCUUCGGGUUGUAAAGUACUUUCAGCGGGGAGGAAGGCGGUGAAGUUAAUAGCUUCACCGAUUGACGUUACCCGCAGAAGAAGCACCGGCUAACUCCGUGCCAGCCGCCGCAGUAA